Molecule: ribosomal RNA, 1245 nt
Filed under: uncultured Acinetobacter sp.
Lineage: Bacteria; Pseudomonadati; Pseudomonadota; Gammaproteobacteria; Moraxellales; Moraxellaceae
Description: bacterial SSU rRNA
Rfam family: Bacterial small subunit ribosomal RNA
Source: RNAcentral
UAGCUUGCUACCUGACCUAGCGGCGGACGGGUGAGUAAUGCUUAGGAAUCUGCCUAUUAGUGGGGGACAACAUUCCGAAAGGAAUGCUAAUACCGCAUACGCCCUACGGGGGAAAGCAGGGGAUCUUCGGACCUUGCGCUAAUAGAUGAGCCUAAGUCAGAUUAGCUAGUUGGUGGGGUAAAGGCCUACCAAGGCGACGAUCUGUAGCGGGUCUGAGAGGAUGAUCCGCCACACUGGGACUGAGACACGGCCCAGACUCCUACGGGAGGCAGCAGUGGGGAAUAUUGGACAAUGGGCGAAAGCCUGAUCCAGCCAUGCCGCGUGUGUGAAGAAGGCCUUUUGGUUGUAAAGCACUUUAAGCGAGGAGGAGGCUACUUGGAUUAAUACUCUAGGAUAGUGGACGUUACUCGCAGAAUAAGCACCGGCUAACUCUGUGCCAGCAGCCGCGGUAAUACAGAGGGUGCGAGCGUUAAUCGGAUUUACUGGGCGUAAAGCGUGCGUAGGCGGCUUCUUAAGUCGGAUGUGAAAUCCCUGAGCUUAACUUAGGAAUUGCAUUCGAUACUGGGAAGCUAGAGUAUGGGAGAGGAUGGUAGAAUUCCAGGUGUAGCGGUGAAAUGCGUAGAGAUCUGGAGGAAUACCGAUGGCGAAGGCAGCCAUCUGGCCUAAUACUGACGCUGAGGUACGAAAGCAUGGGGAGCAAACAGGAUUAGAUACCCUGGUAGUCCAUGCCGUAAACGAUGUCUACUAGCCGUUGGGGCCUUUGAGGCUUUAGUGGCGCAGCUAACGCGAUAAGUAGACCGUCUGGGGAGUACGGUCGCAAGACUAAAACUCAAAUGAAUUGACGGGGGCCCGCACAAGCGGUGGAGCAUGUGGUUUAAUUCGAUGCAACGCGAAGAACCUUACCUGGUCUUGACAUAGUAAGAACUUUCCAGAGAUGGAUUGGUGCCUUCGGGAACUUACAUACAGGUGCUGCAUGGCUGUCGUCAGCUCGUGUCGUGAGAUGUUGGGUUAAGUCCCGCAACGAGCGCAACCCUUUUCCUUAUUUGCCAGCGAGUAAUGUCGGGAACUUUAAGGAUACUGCCAGUGACAAACUGGAGGAAGGCGGGGACGACGUCAAGUCAUCAUGGCCCUUACGACCAGGGCUACACACGUGCUACAACGGUCGGUACAAAGGGUUGCUACCUAGCGAUAGGAUGCUAAUCUCAAAAAGCCGAUCGUAGUCCGGAUUGGAGUCUGCAACUCGAC